AGUGAACGCUGGCGGUAGGCCUAACACAUGCAAGUCGAACGGCAGCACAGUAAGAGCUUGCUCUUACGGGUGGCGAGUGGCGGACGGGUGAGGAAUACAUCGGAAUCUACUUUUUCGUGGGGGAUAACGUAGGGAAACUUACGCUAAUACCGCAUACGACCUACGGGUGAAAGCAGGGGAUCUUCGGACCUUGCGCGAUUGAAUGAGCCGAUGUCGGAUUAGCUAGUUGGCGGGGUAAAGGCCCACCAAGGCGACGAUCCGUAGCUGGUCUGAGAGGAUGAUCAGCCACACUGGAACUGAGACACGGUCCAGACUCCUACGGGAGGCAGCAGUGGGGAAUAUUGGACAAUGGGCGCAAGCCUGAUCCAGACAUACCGCGUGGGUGAAGAAGGCCUUCGGGUUGUAAAGCCCUUUUGUUGGGAAAGAAAAGCAGCAGGUUAAUACCGCACUGUUCUGACGGUACCCAAAGAAUAAGCACCGGCUAACUUCGUG
RNAcentral lists this ribosomal RNA (492 nucleotides) under uncultured bacterium. RNAcentral's name for it is "partial 16S ribosomal RNA". It matches the Rfam family "Bacterial small subunit ribosomal RNA", at positions 29 to 507 of the family's 1533-position model. The record is from RNAcentral.